Molecule: long non-coding RNA, 523 nt
Filed under: Panax ginseng (ginseng)
Lineage: Eukaryota; Viridiplantae; Streptophyta; Magnoliopsida; Apiales; Araliaceae
Description: long non-coding RNA (PGIN_LNC008110)
Source: RNAcentral
AUAGGCUAAUGUUAAGACACUUGGCCAUUAUGUGACUGAUGAAAUAAGGAAAGAGGCUGGGAAGCUUAAUAAGUCUUGAACCAAGCUCAACAGCCUCAUUUUUCCUCUUUUCUACCUAUUUCAUACCAAGGCUUAUGCCUAAUUUCUUUAUACUCCCAUCCCAAAUUAUGAAUAUCUUUAAGUUCUACAAGUACAAAUCUCUUCAAUAUAAAGAAAUAAUCAAGUUUAUCAAAUAAUUGACGUUAUAAACUGAAAUUAAGGAAUAUUGGAAACUAAGUGCUGUCCAAAAGAGAAAUUAAAAAAAAAGUAGGAGCAAGGACAGAGAUAAUCACUCUGUGUGAGGUAAGUUGUAUUUUUCUUAUCAAAUUCAUGAAUUAAAGUAGAUAGUAAGUGAAUAUUGCUGUGAUUGUUGUGGAAGUUUGUAUGAUGGAGAAAUCAGAUGGAUUCCGGACACAUAAGGAUGGAAUUUUAUGGAGUAUAGGAUGUUUAGCAUGUUCAAAUUCUCACGAAUUUUGAGUUUCUG